GACCGCGUGGCUCAGUUGAUAGAGCAUUGGGUUAGUAUCCAAAGGUCGUAGGUUCGAUUCCCACCGUGGCCG
Molecule: transfer RNA, 72 nt
Filed under: Paramuricea clavata
Lineage: Eukaryota; Metazoa; Cnidaria; Anthozoa; Malacalcyonacea; Plexauridae
Rfam family: tRNA
About the family: Transfer RNA (tRNA) molecules are approximately 80 nucleotides in length. Their secondary structure includes four short double-helical elements and three loops (D, anti-codon, and T loops). Further hydrogen bonds mediate the characteristic L-shaped molecular structure. tRNAs have two regions of fundamental functional importance: the anti-codon, which is responsible for specific mRNA codon recognition, and the 3' end, to which the tRNAs corresponding amino acid is attached (by aminoacyl-tRNA synthetases). tRNAs cope with the degeneracy of the genetic code in two manners: having more than one tRNA (with a specific anti-codon) for a particular amino acid; and 'wobble' base-pairing, i.e. permitting non-standard base-pairing at the 3rd anti-codon position.
Source: Rfam by way of RNAcentral